This 497-nucleotide ribosomal RNA is filed under the name uncultured bacterium. Its description in RNAcentral is "partial 16S ribosomal RNA". It matches the Rfam family "Bacterial small subunit ribosomal RNA", at positions 28 to 507 of the family's 1533-position model. The record is from RNAcentral.
GAUGAACGCUGGCGGCGUGCCUAAUACAUGCAAGUCGAGCGAACAGACGAGGAGCUUGCUCCUCUGACGUUAGCGGCGGACGGGUGAGUAACACGUGGAUAACCUACCUAUAAGACUGGGAUAACUUCGGGAAACCGGAGCUAAUACCGGAUAAUAUAUUGAACCGCAUGGUUCAAUAGUGAAAGACGUGUUUGCUGUCACUUAUAGAUGGAUCCGCGCCGCAUUAGCUAGUUGGUAAGGUAACGGCUUACCAAGGCAACGAUGCGUAGCCGACCUGAGAGGGUGAUCGGCCACACUGGAACUGAGACACGGUCCAGACUCCUACGGGAGGCAGCAGUAGGGAAUCUUCCGCAAUGGGCGAAAGCCUGACGGAGCAACGCCGCGUGAGUGAUGAAGGUCUUCGGAUCGUAAAACUCUGUUAUUAGGGAAGAACAAAUGUGUAAGUAACUAUGCACGUCUUGACGGUACCUAAUCAGAAAGCCACGGCUAACUACGUG